Carassius auratus (goldfish) is the source of this 544-nucleotide long non-coding RNA. RefSeq lists it as uncharacterized. The transcript is spliced from 4 exons. The record is from RefSeq and is a predicted model, not a curated record. NCBI's taxonomy places the organism in Eukaryota, Metazoa, Chordata, Actinopteri, Cypriniformes, Cyprinidae.
UGAUCGGAGCACCCCUACUUUUUAUUUAUUAUAUAGGAUGCAAGCCAGGCCCUUGUUGGUGACUACUCCCCCUCUGCCACCUCCAGUCUUCAAGAUCUCCACCCGGAACCACUUCGCUCCCCUCCGCGAGACGGAAUGCGACACUGUGUUCAUCCAAGACUCCAUCGUCCAAGACGUCCGUGCUGCAUUAGCCUAAGUUAAAUUGAUGAGGACACAGAAGGGACAGAUGAGACACACGUGAUUAUCUGAUGAAGAGAGACUGAUGAAGGAAUGAUGCCAUCAAAGUCUCUCAUACAUUUGAUGCAGAUCUGUUGUGUUGACAGCAGCAUCUGUGGAAAAAAACCUGAAACCAAAAUAUUAAGACCUCAAUCCCUCUGGAGCACCUGGAGUAAAGACACAUGGUGGAGAUUGAUCCAGCAACCUUCUGCUGACCAGUCCACUUCAUUACACCAUAGAAGUAAUGAAGCUAUAAAGUGAAGUGAAAGUGACAUACAGCGAAGUAUGGUGACCCAUACUCAGAAUUUGUGCUUUGCUUUUAACCCAU